GAGAGUAUAGCUCAAGUGAUAGAGUGCAUGCUUAGCAUGCAUGAAGUCUGGGUUCAAUCCUCAGUACCUCCA
Camelus ferus (Wild Bactrian camel) is the source of this 72-nucleotide transfer RNA. It matches the Rfam family "tRNA". Rfam says of the family: Transfer RNA (tRNA) molecules are approximately 80 nucleotides in length. Their secondary structure includes four short double-helical elements and three loops (D, anti-codon, and T loops). Further hydrogen bonds mediate the characteristic L-shaped molecular structure. tRNAs have two regions of fundamental functional importance: the anti-codon, which is responsible for specific mRNA codon recognition, and the 3' end, to which the tRNAs corresponding amino acid is attached (by aminoacyl-tRNA synthetases). tRNAs cope with the degeneracy of the genetic code in two manners: having more than one tRNA (with a specific anti-codon) for a particular amino acid; and 'wobble' base-pairing, i.e. permitting non-standard base-pairing at the 3rd anti-codon position. NCBI's taxonomy places the organism in Eukaryota, Metazoa, Chordata, Mammalia, Artiodactyla, Camelidae. The record is from Rfam.